AACGUAGGUCACAAGCGUUGUCCGGAAUUACUGGGUGUAAAGGGAGCGCAGGCGGGAAGACAAGUUGGAAGUGAAAUCCAUGGGCUCAACCCAUGAACUGCUUUCAAAACUGUUUUUCUUGAGUAGUGCAGAGGUAGGCGGAAUUCCCGGUGUAGCGGUGGAAUGCGUAGAUAUCGGGAGGAACACCAGUGGCGAAGGCGGCCUACUGGACACCAACUGACGCUGAGGCUCGAAAGUGUGGGUAGCAAACAGG
RNAcentral lists this ribosomal RNA (253 nucleotides) under Faecalibacterium prausnitzii. RNAcentral describes it as "partial 16S ribosomal RNA". It matches the Rfam family "Bacterial small subunit ribosomal RNA", at positions 524 to 776 of the family's 1533-position model. The record is from RNAcentral. Lineage: Bacteria; Bacillati; Bacillota; Clostridia; Eubacteriales; Oscillospiraceae.